UGAGGAAUCUUCCACAGUGGGCGAAAGCCUGAUGGAGCGACACCGCGUGAAGGAUGAAGGCUUUGUUGUUGUAAACUUCUUUUCUCUGGGAAGAUAAUGACGGUACCAGAGGAAUAAGGGACGGCUAACUACGUGCCAGCAGCCGCGGUAAUACGUAGGUCCCAAGCGUUAUCCGGAAUUACUGGGUGUAAAGCGUCUGUAGGCGGAUAGGUAAGUUUUGUAUGAAAGACCAGGGCUCAACCCUGUGUUUGUGCAAAAAACUGCCUUUCUAGAAUUAGGGAGAGGUAAGCGGAAUGGUAUGAGUAGAGGUGCAAUUCGUAGAUACAUACCAGAACACCAAAAGCGAAGGCAGCUUACUGGAACUAUAUUGACGCUGAGAGACGAAAGCGUGGGGAGCGAAAAGG
This 404-nucleotide ribosomal RNA is filed under the name uncultured bacterium. Its description in RNAcentral is "bacterial SSU rRNA". It matches the Rfam family "Bacterial small subunit ribosomal RNA", at positions 355 to 776 of the family's 1533-position model. The record is from RNAcentral.